AAUAAAUCAAAACUUUGAAUCAAAACACCAAACUUGUUGUUCUUGGCAAAAAUGUCAAGAACAAUGAAGAACACUCAUGAAAAACUCAAAAAUUUCCAUGAACAUUUUUCACCCAAAAACAUCCCAAAACCAUUCAAACUUAAGGGAAAUAACAUAUAACCAAACUAGGGUACAUAGGGGUUCCAAAAGUCACUUGAAAACAUUUUUAACAAGACAAACAAGAACCCAAAAAUCCACCCUUUGGAUUUGGCCGAAAAUCCCCAAAAACAUGGCACCAAAUUUUAGCUCCAAAAUUCAUGCUCAUAUGAACUACAUCUACAACAUUUGAGAUGGCAAAUUUUCUAACAAAAUUUACAUUCAAAAAAGCAAGAAUAAAGCUUGUAACAUAUUACAACAUUUAAAUCAAAGACUAUGAACUACAAAACCCAAAAGGAUUCACCAACUACUAGACCUAGGCUCUGAUACCACUUGAAGGAAAUAUUGUGAAAAACAUAUUCAUUUGAGCAACAUCUAUAGCAUGCAAUUAACAAUUAAAAGGCGGAAUCAUGCUUGCAUGCACUCAAAAACAAACAUUAACCAUGAAAUUCAAAGCCUAGUAGAUUGGUGAACCUUGACUCAACUUAAAACAACAUUUGUUAGUUGAGAAAUUAUACCUUUGUAGAUUCCUCUUUGCAUAAGCAAAGGCUAAUCACCCAAAGAGAGGGCCUUUAUUCCUUGCAUCUUAGAUCUAUGGAUUUGGAUGGAUGAAAUGGUUCUCCAAGUUCCCAAAAUUGAGAACCUCUAAGUGUCUUCACCAAGGUUAGAUUGGAGAAGAAAUGAGUGACCUUGGAGUAGUAGGAUUGCUAGCUAAACCCUCCAAGGAGGCCGGCCACUUUAGAGAGAAAGGAGAGCUUAUGUUCUCAUCCUUUCCCCAAAAGAAAACCUAAAUGAAUUUUGGCUAUAAAGUCAUAUUUAUACCUUAAUUCAUUGGAGUGGCAAACUUGUAAAUAAGUCCAAAACUCACUCCAUCUCUAAAUGGCCGGCCUUAGGGUAUUAUUGGGCUAAUUGGGCCUUUCUGAAUCAUUAUUCAUUAAGUUGUCAUACAACUUAAGUCAAUGGGCUUGACGUUCGAAGCCCAUUCGGCCUUCAGGUCCAAAACUAUCCCGAGGUCUUUAACG
This 1157-nucleotide long non-coding RNA is filed under the name Malus domestica (apple). Its description in RNAcentral is "long non-coding RNA (MDOM_LNC018689)". Lineage: Eukaryota; Viridiplantae; Streptophyta; Magnoliopsida; Rosales; Rosaceae. The record is from RNAcentral.